Molecule: ribosomal RNA, 410 nt
Filed under: uncultured bacterium
Lineage: Bacteria
Description: bacterial SSU rRNA
Rfam family: Bacterial small subunit ribosomal RNA
Source: RNAcentral
GUGCCAGCCGCCGCGGUAAUACGUAGGGGGCAAGCGUUAUCCGGAAUUAUUGGGCGUAAAGAGUGCGUAGGUGGUUACCUAAGCGCAAGGUUUAAUACAGUGGCUCAACUACUGUCUGCCUUGCGAACUGGGCUACUUGAGUGCAGGAGGGGAAAGCGGAAUUCCUAGUGUAGCGGUGAAAUGCGUAGAUAUUAGGAGGAACACCGGCGGCGAAGGCGGCUUUCUGGACUGUAACUGACACUGAGGCACGAAAGCGUGGGGAGCAAACAGGAUUAGAUACCCUGGUAGUCCACGCCGUAAACGAUGAGCACUAGGUGUUGGGGUCGAAUGAUCUCAGUGCCGCAGUUAACGCAAUAAGUGCUCCGCCUGGGGAGUACGCUCGCAAGAGUAAAACUCAAAUAAAUUGACGG